GCAAGCGCGGGAGGGGCCGUCGCCCAAGGGCGGCGGGGCGCGGGCUGGCCUCGCGCGUCAGCUAAGCGCCGGGCGCCGCCGGAGAGGACACACUGAUUGGUCCGACGCGCUGAUUGGCGGGGCGCACUGAUUGGCUGGGCGUCCGGCAGCAGGGCGGGGAGGGGCCGCUUCCGUCCAGAGUUCCCGGAGCUGCCCCAGCUGGGGCCCUCAAGCAAGGGUACACCUGAGCUUCCCAUCCGCGGAGACCGGUGCCUCUCCUGCGCUUGGCCUUACGGACGGCGACGGGGACCCUGGGAUCCGCGAUCUCUGGCUUUUAGGCCCACGGGCCAUCACCGCGACGGAGGCUCCGCUGUUCACCCUACGGAGCCCGGCUGCGCAAAGGGACAGCUCUUGCAUUGCACCCCGUCGACAUUGCACUUCAAGCCUUAGCCCUGCAGUGUUUGGGGCAACUGGGUGGGCUCUUGCGCCCCAGGCUGCUUAUUGUCAUUUCCUGGAUCUCGAGGCUGGACAAGAGUAGUACAUCCUUGCAUCCUGUCCUCUGCAGCUCCUGCCUGUGGUGUCCAUUUAGGACGCAGCCCUGAAGUGCACUCACUGCUGACCGGAGUUUUUCACCCCUUACACUCUACUGACCCAGGGAGCUGCGGUCCUGACUAACCACCCCCUUGUCUCCUCUCUCGCUAAGCCUGGUCUAACUGGCUCCCCUGGCACUCCAAUCUGGUUUCACUUUACUAUUGUGGACAGUUUUUUUGUUUUGUUUUAAAACAGAUCAAAGCAUAUCAUUUCCCCUCUUUCAGAGCCUUCCUUGGGCCAGAGAAGAAGCUAAACUUCUCAGCUUGGGCAUUAAAAGUCCCAUGGUUCCCAGUACAGGCAGAGUCUCUUCUUAUCCACUGUGUAUGCUAAGCUAACUGCUCCACAAGCUUCCUGAUUGUUUCUUGUCUCUACCUGACUUCUCACCAUGAGGAAAGCAGAGUGCUGGAUUAUCCCACCACCUCAGAUUUGGCAAGAGUUCUUUGGAAUAAAACUCAGGUCCUCAUG
This is a long non-coding RNA of Peromyscus californicus insignis, 1035 nucleotides long. RefSeq lists it as uncharacterized. Lineage: Eukaryota; Metazoa; Chordata; Mammalia; Rodentia; Cricetidae. The record is from RefSeq and is a predicted model, not a curated record. The transcript is spliced from 2 exons.